GAUGAACGCUGGCGGCGUGCCUAAUACAUGCAAAUCGAGCGAACAGACGAGGAGCUUGCUCCUCUGACGUUAGCGGCGGACGGGUGAGUAACACGUGGAUAACCUACCUAUAAGACUGGGAUAACUUCGGGAAACCGGAGCUAAUACCGGAUAAUAUAUUGAACCGCAUGGUUCAAUAGUGAAAGACGGUUUUGCUGUCACUUAUAGAUGGAUCCGCGCCGCAUUAGCUAGUUGGUAAGGUAACGGCUUACCAAGGCGACGAUGCGUAGCCGACCUGAGAGGGUGAUCGGCCACACUGAAACUGAGACACGGUCCAGACUCCUACGGGAGGCAGCAGUAGGGAAUCUUCCGCAAUGGGCGAAAGCCUGACGGAGCAACGCCGCGUGAGUGAUGAAGGUCUUCGGAUCGUAAAACUCUGUUAUUAGGGAAGAACAAAUGUGUAAGUAACUAUGCACGUCUUGACGGUACCUAAUCAGAAAGCCACGGCUAACUACGUG
RNAcentral lists this ribosomal RNA (497 nucleotides) under uncultured bacterium. Its description in RNAcentral is "partial 16S ribosomal RNA". It matches the Rfam family "Bacterial small subunit ribosomal RNA", at positions 28 to 507 of the family's 1533-position model. The record is from RNAcentral.